AGUUGAUAUAGAAAAACUAAGAGACUUACAGGUGAGGAACAGAACAGGAACAGGUUGUUCAUAUAGAUGCUGAAAAUGAUCAUCUAGAGUAGGCUAUAAUUAAGGGCAUUACUUUAAGAACCUAGAAAAACAAAAGUUAUCUAAACAUUGGUAUUAUAUAGUAAAAAUAGUAGUCUGGCUAAGUAAAACUUGUAAACAAUAAAGAUAAAUGCUUAGUAGAGUGAAAUAACUUUGAAACUACUGCCACUCAAAACUGAUAUAUAUGAAAAUUCUAAAAAUGAAAAGAUAUUCAAAGUUAGUGCUUAGCUAUUACAUUUUCAAAGUAAUAAAAUAAGGAGAAUAUUUAAGAUAAAAAGAAAAGAAAUUCUAGUACGCAUUUUGAAGGGUAUAAAGGAA
Perognathus longimembris pacificus (Pacific pocket mouse) is the source of this 396-nucleotide long non-coding RNA. RefSeq lists it as uncharacterized. The record is from RefSeq and is a predicted model, not a curated record. Lineage: Eukaryota; Metazoa; Chordata; Mammalia; Rodentia; Heteromyidae. The transcript has 2 exons.